RNAcentral lists this transfer RNA (82 nucleotides) under Fusarium falciforme. RNAcentral's name for it is "tRNA-Ser". It matches the Rfam family "tRNA". From Rfam's summary of the family: Transfer RNA (tRNA) molecules are approximately 80 nucleotides in length. Their secondary structure includes four short double-helical elements and three loops (D, anti-codon, and T loops). Further hydrogen bonds mediate the characteristic L-shaped molecular structure. tRNAs have two regions of fundamental functional importance: the anti-codon, which is responsible for specific mRNA codon recognition, and the 3' end, to which the tRNAs corresponding amino acid is attached (by aminoacyl-tRNA synthetases). tRNAs cope with the degeneracy of the genetic code in two manners: having more than one tRNA (with a specific anti-codon) for a particular amino acid; and 'wobble' base-pairing, i.e. permitting non-standard base-pairing at the 3rd anti-codon position. The record is from RNAcentral. Lineage: Eukaryota; Fungi; Ascomycota; Sordariomycetes; Hypocreales; Nectriaceae.
GGCGUGGUGGCAGGGUGGUCUAAUGCGAUAGACUAGAAAUCUAUUCUCUUCGGAGGCGUCUGUUCGAAUCAGGCUCACGUCG